CCUACGGGAGGAAGCAGUGAGGAAUAUUGGUCAAUGGCCGUAAGGCUGAACCAGCCAAGUCGCGUGAAGGAAGAAGGAUCUAUGGUUUGUAAACUUCUUUUAUAGGGGAAUAAAGGUAUCCACGUGUGGCGAUUUGAAUGUACCCUAUGAAUAAGCAUCGGCUAACUCCGUGCCAGCCGCCGCGGUAAUACGGAGGAUGCGAGCGUUAUCCGGAUUUAUUGGGGUUAAAGGGUGCGUAGGUUGUUUUUUAAGUCAGCGGUGAAAGUUUGUGGCUCAACCAUAAAAUUGCCGUUGAAACUGGAAGACUUGAGUGUGUUUGAGGUAGGCGGAAUGCGUGGUGUAGCGGUGAAAUGCAUAGAUAUCACGCAGAACUCCGAUUGCGAAGGCAGCUUACUAAGCCAUAACUGACACUGAAGCACGAAAGCGUGGGGAUCAAACAGGAUUAGAUACCCUGGUAGUC
RNAcentral lists this ribosomal RNA (460 nucleotides) under uncultured bacterium. RNAcentral describes it as "partial 16S ribosomal RNA". It matches the Rfam family "Bacterial small subunit ribosomal RNA", at positions 338 to 795 of the family's 1533-position model. The record is from RNAcentral.